This 391-nucleotide ribosomal RNA is filed under the name uncultured bacterium. RNAcentral describes it as "bacterial SSU rRNA". It matches the Rfam family "Bacterial small subunit ribosomal RNA", at positions 28 to 419 of the family's 1533-position model. The record is from RNAcentral.
GACGAACGCUGGCGGCGUGCUUAACACAUGCAAGUCGAGCGGUAAGGCCCUUUCGGGGGUACACGAGCGGCGAACGGGUGAGUAACACGUGGGUGACCUGCCUUUAGCUCUGGGAUAAGCCUGGGAAACUGGGUCUAAUACCGGAUACGACUCCGCGGUGCAUGCUGUGGGGUGGAAAGCCUUGUGCGGCUGGAGAUGGGCCCGCGGCCUAUCAGCUUGUUGGUGGGGUGAUGGCCUACCAAGGCGACGACGGGUAGCCGGCCUGAGAGGGCGACCGGCCACACUGGGACUGAGACACGGCCCAGACUCCUACGGGAGGCAGCAGUGGGGAAUCUUGCGCAAUGGGCGAAAGCCUGACGGAGUGACGCCGCGUGUGGGAUGAAAGGCCUUC